AUCAAUUCGGUGUGGUGUCCCAGCCCAGCCUCUGGAGUCAAGUUUCACCUCCUGAGUGGAGUCCUGCCUCCUACCUCAGGAAGAUUGAGCCCAGGUGUUCAAGACCAGCCUGGACAAAACAGCCAGACCUCAUCAUGAAUUAGAGUAGGCUCCGCCAUCUAGGUUUGUGUAAGGACACCCUGUGAUGCUCACACAAUGACAAAAUCACCUAAGCAUGCACUUCUCAGGGAGUAUCCCUAUGACUACUCCCUUUUGUGGACAUUCGGGUUGUCAGGUCUAUUUCUGAAGCACCCGGAAACAGUCAGUUCUGGCAUUUUAGAGAGGUUCUGUAUCUGCAGCCUUGUUCUGUGCAAGCCUACUGGGUGUCUCUUUCAGAACAUAUCCCGAUUUCGGAGAAAUCCCCCACCAUCCUGUCCAUGAUCGAGGGCACCAAGAACUGAUGCUUGAGCCAGACACUCAACCACAAACUGCACUUCAGGGAGGCCCACAGCCUUUGAGGAGGUUUGGAGUCCGCUGCCUAAUUAGGGCUCUUCAUCUUGGUAGGUAACACAGGAGGGAGUGGAGCCUGGGGUUUAGGAAGUGUGGCACCGUUAGCAUACACAGAGGAAGCUCAUAAGUGCUCUGCAGGAGCCCAAAUGGUGCUGAGGUCUGUUUCAUACGAAGAGUCUCGGAGGCCAGGAUUCAGCUGAGGAGACAGAUUCCUGUCCUCGGGUCUCCCUGCCAUAACUCUGGAAGACAACCUUGAACCAGUGGAUAUGAUUCUUGUAGGAUAUUAAAUAUGUCUCUUUUCACAGUCAUGCUAUUUAUUUACUCAACACUUUUUAUUUUUUUUGAGACAGAGUAUUGUUCUGUGGCCCAGGCUGGAGGGCAGUGGCACAAUCUUGGCUCACUGCAACCUCCGCCUCCCGGUUCAAGCAAUUACCAUGCCUCAGCCUUCCGAGUAUCUGGGGUUACAGGCCUCCGCCACCUUGCCCGGGUAAUUUUUUGUAUUUUUAGUAGAGAUGGGGUUUCACCAUGUUGGCCAGGCUGGUCUCAAACUCCUGACCUCAGGUGAGGAUCUGCUUGCCUCAGGCUCCCAAAGUGCUGGGAUUACAGGUGUGAGCCACCUCACCCAGCCUUUUUUUUUUCUUCAUAUAGGGUGCAAAGGUACAUUCUCUCCCGCUCUUAUUAUCACAAAUGUCAAAUUAUGAAUUAAAGAUGUUUUAUUGUAGCUGCUCUUGCAAUGUGAAUGUGUGUGUGUGUGUGUGUGUGUGUGUGUGUGUGUGUGUGUGUGUGAAUGUGUCAUAUUUGCAUUUGGGCCGGACCUGAAUGAAUGACUUUAGAAUGAGACUCUAAUGAGGAUGACACAGGCGGCUUUCGAGGGAUGAGACCUCCCCGGAGAAGGACAGAGACAUUAUUUGGCUGUCUUCUUUCCGGAGGGUAAGGAUUUGGCUAAGAAUUUUAAACACUCACGUCCUCCAGCUCACAGGAGUGGGUCAAGAGCAGCUAGAGGGAGUGCAGAGAGGCCGGUGUCGAUGUUCCAGAAAAGUGAGACGAGGGAUGUGGUCGAUGACUGCCCUGCCAGCCGGGUGCAAAUAAUGCAUGGGAAGGUAUACAAGUCCGGUGGAAAGAACCCUGGGCUGGCGAUAAGGAGAUUGGCCUGUGACCUUGGGUGAGUUCUGUUUGGCUUUGAGCAAGUCGCUUAAGCUCUCUGUGCUGAAGCAUGUGACCGCGCAUGGAAAACAGGCCAGAGAUCGGCCUCCGUACCUCAGGAGACUGAGUGGGUUGUUAGGUACAAAAUGCCUGAAGUCCUUUCCACAGCAAGGCAGGGCAUACACAGACCUAUCAAUAAAACUGAAGGCAUCAGGAAUCCUGGUGGGGAAACUGAGGCCCAGCCCAGGAAAGCCCUGUGCCCAAGGAUCCGGGGAUUGUCUCCAUCCUGCCUUUAGGGAAAAGCAAGCUACCCAUCUAGGGUCUGGGUAGAGCACCCCGGGAAGAGCAAGGAGACAUCCCAGAUGGAGGCCCUGCCAGGAACACAGGCCAUUUCCCUUGCAAAGAUGAAAUUCAAAUCUGAGGUGGCAUCAGUGCCAGGGGAGGCAGCUGGGCACAGAUGUGUCUUGGGAGGAUCUGGGGGCAGCGGAUCAUGUCACAUGAGAGCACCGGACCAGGAUUCGGCCUGACCCCUCCCUCCUGUGACUCUGAGCCCUCAGGCUGUGGGGGCUGACUGUCCCACCGCCCAGGUCAUUCUCGGCACUGCCCCAGAGCCAUAGCGGAGGCAGGGCUGGCAUAAAGGGGGCCCUGGGACGACCCCAGGCCCUAAGGCCUCCAGGCCUGUCCGGGCCGCCCAGCUAGGGAGGCUGAGAUGGCCGCUCGGCCCCAGCCAGCAUAUGCAUUAGUAAUGGCCACUGAUCCUGCUGGCCCCGCGCCCUGUUUCCAGAGUGGGGCAGUAAUCUGAGCCCGGCUGCCCACUGCCUCCAGGCUCCACCCUACGUUGCUGGGGCCAUUGAAUGCCUCUACUUUUCCUUGUUCUCAGCUCUGCAUCGAAAUGAAGAGAAACACAAACCAGCGAUGUCUCCUCAACGUCCUGGGCGUUAGCUGUUCCCACCAUCACUUCAUAGAGAGGUUUCUGGAUGGGAAGCGUUAGGAAAGACCCAGGGAGGCCUCUGAGGACACCUUGCGCAGAUGUGAGGCCUUCCUGGGCUGGGCCUCAGUUUCCUUACUGGGGGUGGACAGGUCUGUUCUGAGGCUGUCACUGGCACUGAUGUUCUGGGGUCCUGGGGCCCAUUGCUUGCCCUAAUGUGGGGGGUCACUCUGGUGGAGGGGACCCGGUCAGACCAUAGCAGGCUAGACCGUGUGUGGUGACAGCAACACGGCCCAGUGGCAGAGGCUCCUGGGGGUGGGGGCAUUAGGGGAUGAAGCAGGCCUGGAGGAUGGGUGGAUCCAGAGAGCACUGGUGAGUGGGGGGGGUGCCUCAGCUCAGGGGGCAGGCCUGCGGGAUGGGGGGACCCCUGGGACAUUUAUCCAGCCUGAGACUGGAGGCAGCUCUUCUUACCUUCCUGGGAAGGGCCUUCAGCCCUGCCUCUCCCCCUGCACCCACCUGGCAAACCUUUCACUCCCAGCAGCUCUGGGAUGUCUCUCGAGGGACCCAGGCUCCGUCCUGAGCCUGUGGCCUGUCUCCGGCAGCUGCCCUUGGGUGGGAAGGUCCUGGCUGGCCCCAGAGGUUUUUCCUAAGAGCCUGUAAUUCUCCCCGGAGAGAUAAGGCAUGGUUACAUGGACUCAUAUCACACUGGCAGAGAAAGCGCCUCCAGGAAUUAGGCCACCAGCCAGGGGAUGGGCAGGCCUGUGUAGGAAGGGCAGCCUCUCAGUUGGAGGAAGUGGGGGUGUGGGACAGCCGAGGGCACUGAGAAAGUGGGGAAGACCACAUCUUCAUGGGAGGGUGGGACCAGCCCAGGCUGUGGGAGUGGCCUGCUGUGUGACCUCAGAGAGGCCACGAUCCCUACUAGCUGCCUCUAGGAAAGGAAUCUGAGCAUGAAGGAGUAGUGGGGACAGGGAGAUUUGCUUUUCACUAUAUAAUUUUUUGCAACUUUUUGAAAAAAGUACAUUUUUUUUUUGAGAGUCUUGCUCUGUCGCCCAGGCUGGGGUGCAGUGGCAUGAUCUCAGCUCACUGCAACCUCCACCUCCCGGGUUCAGGCAAUUCUCCUGCCUCAGCCUCCCAAGUAGCUGGGAUUACAGGCAUGCACCACCACGCCCGGCUAAUUUUUUUUUUUUUUUUUUGAGACAGAGUCUUGCUCUGUCACCCAGGCUGGAGUGCAGUGGCACCAUCUCAGCUCACUGCAAGCUCCACCUCCCUGGCUCAAGUGAUUCACCUGCCUCAGCCUCACGAGUAGCUUGGAUUACAGGUGCAUGCCACCAUGCCUGGCUAAUUUUUGUAUUUUUAGUAGAAACAGGGUUUUGUCAUAUUAGCCAGGCUGGUCUUGAACUCCUGGCCUCAAGUGAUUCUCCCACCUCGGCCUCCCAAAGUGCUGAGAUUACAGGUGUGAGCCACUGAACCUGGCCAGCUGAUUUUUUGUUGUUGUUGUUGUAUUUGUUUUGUAGAGAUGGAGUCUCCCUAUGUUGCCCAGGCUGGUCUUGAACUCCUGGGCUCAAGCAAUCCACUCACCUCAGCCUCCCAAAGUGCCAGGAUUACAGGCAUAAGCCACUGAGCCUGGCCUCUUUGUGAAAUUUUGUACUGUGUUUAUGUAUAGCCUAUUUAAAAACAGUAUUUAAAAAUAAUGGCUGGGCAGGGUGGCUCAUGCCUGUAAUCCAAGUGCUUUGGGAUGCCAAGGUGGAAGAAUCACUUGACCCCAGGAGUUCAAGAGCAGCCUGGGCAACAAAGUUAGACUAAUCUCUCCAAAAAAUUUAAAAAUUAGCAGGGCAUGGUGGCACGUGCUUGAGGUCCCAGCUACUCAGGAGGCUGAGGCGAGAGGAUUGCUUGAGCCCAGGAGGUCAGAGGCUGCAGUGAGCUGUGAUCAUGCCACUGCAGUCCAGCCUCGGCAACAGAGUGAGACCCUGUCUCAACAACAACAACAAAAGAAAUCUAAACAGGCAAUCAUUUCAUAUAUUAUGACAAAAUGAUGGUCUAGGCACACACCAUCAGGAUAUACCAUCCGGAUGUAUGAGAAAGCAACAGUAUUUGUCUUAGUCUAUUUUGUAAGAGAAUACCUGAGACCAGGUAACUUAUAAAGAACAGAGAUUCUUUUUUUUUGAGACAGAGUCUUACUCUGUUGCCUAGGCUGGAGUGCCGUGGCACAAUCUCAGCUCAUUGCAACCUCUGCUUCCCCAGUUCAAACAAUUCUCCUGCCUCAGCCUCCCAAGUAGCUGGGAUCACAGGUGCCCGCCACCACACCCGGCUAAUUUUUUGUAUUUUUAGCAGAGACAGGGUUUCACCAUGUUGGCCAGGCUGGUCUUGAACUCCUGACCUCAGGUGAUCCACAUGCCUUGGCCUCCCAAAGUGCUGGGAUUACAGGCGUGAACCACUACGUCCAGCUAGGAACAGAGAUUCAUUUCUUACAUUUCUGGAGGCUGGAAAAUCCAAGGCUGAGAGGCCUGCAUCUGGGCCUCUGGCUGUGUCUGUCAUCCCAUAACAAGAGGUGGAAGGGCAAAAAAGCAUGAGAGAGAAAGAGAGAGAGAGAGAGAAAGCAAGAGAGUACCAAACUUGCUUUUAUAAUAAACCCGCUCCGCUGAUAAGGACAUUAAUCCACACACAAAGUCAGAGCCCUUGCAAAAGGUCCCAGUCUCAACAUUGCUGCACUGGGGAUUAAGUUUCUGAGACAUGAUCAUUGAGGGACACAUUCAAACCAUAGCAGUAUUUUAAACAAUAUGGUGCCCAGCAAAAUAAAAGCUUCAAUAAUUGAAACAAAAUGAAGAGUUUGGAAGUAGAGCUAAUGAACAUAAAUAUUUGAUGUGAGAGAAAGCACGUUUGAAAGCAAGGAGGUAGGAAAAGUGAAUCUCUAUCCAUCUCUCUCCCUAGGUCCCUAGGUAACCUCAUUCAAUUCCACAGGCUUUCAAUAUUAUCUGUGUGCGAAUGACUCCCAAACUGGAUAUAUCCACAAGGCCUUGCCCCUGAACACAGCACCCAUUUCUAUAAUUUCCUGCCUGACAUUUUCACCUGCUGAGUGAUCCUCUUAAACUCACCAUAUCCCUCCCUCCCCAAAUUCCUCCUGUGCCUCCUUUCUCAUCUCAGUAGGUAGAAUUCUCACUACCUGGUUGCUCAAAUAGAAGUCCAGGCUUCAUCAUCAAUUCUUCUUUCUCUCCCCAGCACAUCCACUCCAAAGCAAGCCCGCCCCCUCCAUUGGCCCAUCCUUGCCCAGGCCACCAC
RNAcentral lists this long non-coding RNA (5836 nucleotides) under Homo sapiens (human). RNAcentral's name for it is "HSALNT0128935". The record is from RNAcentral. Lineage: Eukaryota; Metazoa; Chordata; Mammalia; Primates; Hominidae.